CGGCGACAGACUGCCUCUACACGCGCUGCUACGCUGCGCGGAUGCGCUGCAUGCUCUGCUGUGGAGGCGCACAGCGCGCUGGUGCGCUGUCAGCGCUGUACUGCUCCACAAGGACACUGUCAGCCCAAGCGAAGUCUCAUACUGGCGUUCGUUAGGAGUACGUUGUAUAGGGUGGUGUGUGAACAGACCCUUAGAGAAGCUGUACUGGAGGGGCGUCCUUAAAGCUCCCUACCUAUCGAACACUCUUUUGGGCGAGCCUGAGGUGGAACAGAACAAGGAACGCGACAAACGAUCAGAGUCGCGCCCCACGCCGGUUGUAGACAGGUUGCUAGAGACAGAGAAACGAAUGACGUCUGGUCAAAAUUAAAAUAAAAACCAGCUUAACGGGCGGACUUUGUUCAGCCAUGUUUAUUUUUCAAGAAUAUAUUGAUAUUGGAAUCAAAUUAUAUAAGGCGUGCGACUCCUAAUUACGUUCAUUCGAAUGGGGGGUUCUGUAGGUAGAAUAUUAGGUCAUGUGGAAUGUGAUCGAUUACACCUACAUAACCGCCCAUUUUCAUCUUUAUGUGAAUCGAUUUACAUUGAUUCCAGUCUGGUAAAUUU
Melitaea cinxia (Glanville fritillary) is the source of this 600-nucleotide long non-coding RNA. RefSeq lists it as uncharacterized. The transcript has 3 exons. Lineage: Eukaryota; Metazoa; Arthropoda; Insecta; Lepidoptera; Nymphalidae. The record is from RefSeq and is a predicted model, not a curated record.